UACGUAGGGGGCAAGCGUUGUUCGGAAUUACUGGGCGUAAAGGGCGCGUAGGCGGCACGACAAGUCGGGAGUGAAAGCCCGGGGCUCAACCCCGGAAUGUCUCUCGAAACUGUCGAGCUAGAGUGCAGAAGAGGCAACUGGAAUUCCCAGUGUAGCGGUGAAAUGCGUAGAUAUUAGGAAGAACACCAGUGGCGAAGGCGGCUCACUGGCCCGGUACUGACGCUGAGGCGCGAAAGCGUGGGGAGCAAACAGG
RNAcentral lists this ribosomal RNA (253 nucleotides) under uncultured bacterium. Its description in RNAcentral is "partial 16S ribosomal RNA". It matches the Rfam family "Bacterial small subunit ribosomal RNA", at positions 524 to 776 of the family's 1533-position model. The record is from RNAcentral.